RNAcentral lists this transfer RNA (67 nucleotides) under Sarcophaga crassipalpis. RNAcentral's name for it is "tRNA-Thr". It matches the Rfam family "tRNA". From Rfam's summary of the family: Transfer RNA (tRNA) molecules are approximately 80 nucleotides in length. Their secondary structure includes four short double-helical elements and three loops (D, anti-codon, and T loops). Further hydrogen bonds mediate the characteristic L-shaped molecular structure. tRNAs have two regions of fundamental functional importance: the anti-codon, which is responsible for specific mRNA codon recognition, and the 3' end, to which the tRNAs corresponding amino acid is attached (by aminoacyl-tRNA synthetases). tRNAs cope with the degeneracy of the genetic code in two manners: having more than one tRNA (with a specific anti-codon) for a particular amino acid; and 'wobble' base-pairing, i.e. permitting non-standard base-pairing at the 3rd anti-codon position. The record is from RNAcentral. Lineage: Eukaryota; Metazoa; Arthropoda; Insecta; Diptera; Sarcophagidae.
AGUUUUAAUAGUUUAAUAAAAACAUUGGUCUUGUAAAUCAAAAUAAGAUAUAUUCUUUUAAAACUUC